AUCUGAUCUCAAAUCAGGUAGGACUACCCGCUGAACUUAA
RNAcentral lists this ribosomal RNA (40 nucleotides) under Rhizoctonia solani. Its description in RNAcentral is "partial 28S ribosomal RNA". Lineage: Eukaryota; Fungi; Basidiomycota; Agaricomycetes; Cantharellales; Ceratobasidiaceae. The record is from RNAcentral.